This is a long non-coding RNA of Scomber japonicus (chub mackerel), 150 nucleotides long. RefSeq lists it as uncharacterized. Lineage: Eukaryota; Metazoa; Chordata; Actinopteri; Scombriformes; Scombridae. The record is from RefSeq and is a predicted model, not a curated record. The transcript has 3 exons.
GGGGUCAGGUACAGACAGGUGUGUGUGUGUGUGUGUGUGUGUGUGUCAGGUACAGACAGGUGUGUGUGUGUGUGUGUCAGGUACAGACAGGUGUGUGUGUGUGUGUACAGUUAUCUCUCACUGAGCUGCGGUGCUCUUUGAGGGAGUCAG